CCUUUUCAUCCUUCUCGUGGUCUCAGGCAAGGGGAUCCACUAUCACCAUACUUAUUCCUCUUUGUGGCUGAAGCAUUGUCGUUGCUACUUAAUGAUGCUUCGGCAAGAGGGGCUAUUCAAGAGUUCCGGCUAAACAGACAUGCCCCAGGUAUAUCUCAUCUCCUUUUUGCUGAUGAUAGUCUCCUAUUUUUUAAGGGUAACUUGGAGCAAGCUCUGAAUAUUAAAGGCAUUUUGUCGGCUUAUGAGGAGGGAACUGGCCAACUAUUAAGUCCGGAUAAAUGCUCCAUAUUAUUUGGCAAAAAUUGUUCUAUGGAAGACCAGGUGUCUAUUCUGGUUAUCCUUAAAAUCACGAUUGAUGGUUUUGAGGAUAAA
RNAcentral lists this ribosomal RNA (372 nucleotides) under Triticum aestivum (bread wheat). RNAcentral describes it as "partial small subunit ribosomal RNA". The record is from RNAcentral. Lineage: Eukaryota; Viridiplantae; Streptophyta; Magnoliopsida; Poales; Poaceae.